AUUGAACGCUGGCGGCAUGCCUUACACAUGCAAGUCGAACGGCAGCACGGGGGCAACCCUGGUGGCGAGUGGCGAACGGGUGAGUAAUGCAUCGGAACGUGCCCAGUAGUGGGGGAUAACCAGUCGAAAGACUGGCUAAUACCGCAUACGACCUACGGGUGAAAGCGGGGGACCGCAAGGCCUCGCGCUAUUGGAGCGGCCGAUGUCUGAUUAGCUAGUUGGCGGGGUAAAGGCCCACCAAGGCGACGAUCAGUAGCUGGUCUGAGAGGACGACCAGCCACACUGGGACUGAGACACGGCCCAGACUCCUACGGGAGGCAGCAGUGGGGAAUUUUGGACAAUGGGCGCAAGCCUGAUCCAGCCAUGCCGCGUGCGGGAAGAAGGCCUUCGGGUUGUAAACCGCUUUUGGCAGGAACGAAACGGUGCGGGUUAACACCUCGCGCUAAUGACGGUACCUGCAGAAUAAGCACCGGCUAACUACGUGCCAGCCGCCGCCGUAA
This 500-nucleotide ribosomal RNA is filed under the name uncultured bacterium. RNAcentral's name for it is "partial 16S ribosomal RNA". It matches the Rfam family "Bacterial small subunit ribosomal RNA", at positions 29 to 523 of the family's 1533-position model. The record is from RNAcentral.